Molecule: RNA transcript, 2245 nt
Organism: Cannabis sativa
Lineage: Eukaryota; Viridiplantae; Streptophyta; Magnoliopsida; Rosales; Cannabaceae
Exons: 2
Source: RefSeq, a predicted model, not a curated record
UGUUACACUAAAAAAAAAAAAAAUAAUAAUUAAACUGUAUUCUAAAAUAACUUAUAAGGAAGCAAUUAAAAAAUAAAUGUACACAAUAGCAAUCCCACUUGGCAUCUUAGUUGGCAUUUAACAUUGAAAUUUAAUUGAAACUUAAAGAGGUUUGGCUACAAAUUUCUCUUACAUAGUCAAAUAAACUAUCAAAUUGUGUAAUUACUUUCAAUUACACCAUAAUUUUCCAAAUGCAACAUAAAACGCUUGACACCAGUUAUUACUAAAAUCGAGAUCAACUUUAACUGCCCUAUGAUCUUAACCAUAAAAACCUAAAUGAGACAAAAUCGCCAUAAGAAAAAAGACAUGCCAUUUGUUAUUAAUAAGUAAUAACACACCAUGUAUGAUGAGGACCUCUACAAAGCAAAGGUGAUCAAACAUAUUUAUUGAUAAAAUUACUAAAGGUUGUCGUCAUAGUUGGAUCAAAAAGCAGAUAUUCUGUUUAUUAGAAAGAAAGAAAGUAUAAUAACCAAGUACAUGCUUGAAGACAGAACUUUCAUUAGUAAAUACUUAGGUUUCCCUCAAUGUCUUUCUAGAUCUAAAUAUCACUCAUUUUCUUUUCUUAAAGAUAAAGUUCUCUCUAUUCUCACGAAGUGGUCUGCUAAGUGAUUUUCCAAGGCUGGUAAGAAGAUUCUUCUCAAGGCUGUCAUACAAGCUAUACCUGCAUAUGUGAUGGCUUGUUUUAGGUUGUCUGUCAAGCUGUGCAGAGGAAUUGAGGCUGCGAUGGCCAGAUUCUGGUGGGGUUCUUCUAGGGAUUCUAAAAAAAUUUGUUGGAAAUCUUAGAAAUUUUUUUGUCAGUCCAAAUUUUUGGGAGAACUUGGUUUUCUUUCUUUAAUUCAAUUUACCAAGCCAUGCUUGCUAAAACCCUAACUCUUUGCUCGGUCUGGUUCUUAAAGCUAGCUACUUUCCCAAUUCCUCUAUUUUUGAGGCUACUCUUGAUCAUAACCCUUCCUACUCUUGGAGAAGUAUUCUUUGGGGAAGAGAUCUGAUGGCUUCUGGUAUCAUUUGGAAGAAUGGGGAUGGGGAAUAGAUUAGGACUUUUGAGGAUUAUUGGAUACCUAAUAAUAAAUUUCUGCUGUAUAAGGAUAAUGGUUCUCCUGAUUCAUGUAUGCUUUCUUAUUUCAUAGAUGAUUCUGGAUCUUGGGAUCUGCCUAAACUUAAGAGACAUUUUGAUGAUGCUCUUGUUAAUGAUAUCCUUGAGGUACCUGUUACUGGACACCAUGGAAAAGAUGAUCUUAUUUCGUCUAGGGAGAGUUCUAGUCUUUUUAGUGUUAAGUCUUCCUAUCAUUUGGCUCUCUCUAAAUAAGAUAUCCCCUCUUCUUCAUCUUUUAAUGAUUCUAAAAUAUUUUGGAGUAAGAUUUGGAAUUCUUAAGUUCCCCCAAAAAUAAAACACUUUGUCUGGAGAGUUGUAUCAAAUGAUAUUCUUGUUGCCUCUUCCCUUUUUCAGAAACAUGUUAUUGACUCUCCCAUUUGUCCCCUUUACAAGCUUUGCCCUGAAACUAUUCAGCAUGCUUUGUUGGAAUGCUCUAGAUCGAGGAAAGCUUGGAAAUCUUCAAGAGAAACAAUGUUUUUUAUAGACAUAGUGACAUGCUUGCUGAUGAGGUUUUUGACUGGUGUGUUAGCUUUUUCUUCAAGUAUUUGGAUGCACAACAACAUAACAAACAGUCAAGUGUUUCUACUCCUGUGCAUACCAGGCCCUUAACAUGCUCUUCUAAGGAUAAUUUUUCAAGUUUUUACUGAUGCAGCAAUUGAUCUCCAAAGCAGGAAACAUAGCAUUAGGAUUGUUUUGGAUGAGUUGAACCAGGUUAAAGUAGGAUUCUCAAGACCCUUUGUUGGAAGUGUUCCUCCUACAGUGGCUGAAGCAAAGGCAAUUCUUUAUGCCAUGGGCUCAAAUGUUCAUCUUCUUCCCAUAGAUGUUAUUAAAAAAGAUUGUAAAACUAUUGUGGAUAAACUUAAAUCUUGUAGCUGAAAUAGUAGUCCACUUGAUGAUAUAUUAAUUUGUGUUAAGAACUUGUUAUCGUUCAAUCCUAACUUAACUAUUAGUCAUGUUGGUAGGGAGUCAAAUGAGUUGGCUCACAAAGUUGCUAAGCUAGGUUUAGAACUAGAUAAUGAAUUAACUUAGAAUAGUCAUCUACCUUCCAUGUAAGUUGUUGGCUUUGUACUCGCCACAAAACUAAUGAAGCACAAGUUUUUAUAAAAAAAUUAA